This is a long non-coding RNA of Bos taurus (domestic cattle), 3722 nucleotides long. Lineage: Eukaryota; Metazoa; Chordata; Mammalia; Artiodactyla; Bovidae. The record is from Ensembl.
CGCCGGAAGCCCGGCCAGAAUCAAAGCGGACGCGAAGCAUCCACCCAGCUGGAAGAGCCGCCGCCGCCGGGGAAGCAGGAAUCUCCCAGAUACCCAGUGUGGGGGCGCUCCCGAGCCCUCGGGGUCCCCCGGCGGCCUCCUGGAGCCUGGAGCUCAGGCGGAGAGAUGCAGGGACGGCGGGAGGCCGGAGGCAGCCGUGGUCAGGGAAGCGAGGGGACCAGAAGGACCACCGGAGGUGUCCGGGCGGAAGGGCCGCGGGGCUGGGGUCGCCCCGGUCCCCGCCGCACCCUGGGGACCCCGGCCCGCUUGGUUUGGGCCUCAAAGAGCACCAAAGUUGUCUGGCCAUCUGGUCGACCUUUCGGCGGUGCUUGCCUGACUACAACCAAACAUGAACACAAAUCUGGAUCGCAGGGCAGAGAAGGCAGAGCACCACCACUCCGCACUCGUUUCUCUUACCUAAGUGUUCUCCCGUCCGCGCGCGUUCAGACGCCCUUCCAGGACUACACACCGCGCCAGGCUCGCGUCUCCUUGGUACCCUCAGUGGAGGGCCCGGGCCGUUUUCUGGAUCUCAAACAUUUGGCGCCUCUGACCACCGAUCCCGUGCAGGACUAAAGCCGCGCAUUGGGCCACCUCCUUGCUCGCCCACCGCGUUCCCUGUUGUCACCCGUGGCGAGGGACUCGUGUGUGGCUCACACAACUUUCGAGCCCGUAAGGGGAACAGAAGAGACUACAGGCGGCCCCCGCGAUGACGCAGCACGGCUUCCGACGAACGCAGAGCUUGAUACGACAGCGGCCGUCGGAGAGCAGCUCCCCCGCCGCCCAGCCCUGGUGCGGACCUGGGCCCCCAGGCGAUCAGGACGUGGGGUUGGGAGAGCCUAGCCUGGGGAUCGCGGUGCCGCUGGGAGGGCCGGGCGCGCAGCCCAGCGCCGCCUUGUUCCGCGUGUCCGGCCACGCUCCACUCCGGGGAAGACGCCCGGGAUCCAGGGACGGCCGGCGUGAACCCUGCGCCGUCCGCCGACGGAGACACGGCUACUCCCAGCCGAGGCGGGAAAACAAAAAAUACUGAUCCAGGACACCGCGCGGGGCACUUUACUCUCCUGGCUGCGAGCCGUACCCCAUGCAGCCCCGCGGGCGGAGGAAACGUCCGGAUCGCCGACUAGCUUCUAAAGACACGGCCCGUGCUCGCCACGCAAGCCUGACCGUUCGAGGGAGCAGGACGCGUCCAGGCCCGGAGACGGGGCCCAGGCGCGCCAGCCAACGAGCCCUGCGAGCCCAUACUCGUCCGGUCUGGCCAAGCACCAGAGCCUGGAGAGUGGGGACCCCGGAGGGAGACGAAGGCCCCUAACGGUGACCCAGGAGUUUGGCCGACGAGCCACAGGCACUCCGGCGCCGCAGACCCUUUCUCUGCUCGCUCCGAGGCCCCGCGGAUGUAAGGCCGCGAGGAGAUGCUGGUCGACCAGAGCGAGCGACAACCCGCCCUCAAAGGCCACAGCGCCAGGCCGCUUCACGAAAACCUGCAGACCCAGUCUUCAGCAGGAGCAGGCAUGCCCAGGUCUCCGCAGCACCAUGGUUAUUGCCACCAGUGCUGCCGGCCUCUGGAGCUCUGCGCCGUCUUCUCCGGCUGAGUCUCAGCCCUUAUGAAGGUCGCCGAAGGAAAGGAACGCUCUGAAAGCGGCCGCCAGGGGCGCCCGACAACCGGUUCGAGUGUCCUCAGGACGAGUUGCCGGCAGGCCGCAGCGGCGCCGAACGCCCUAACGCCCGAGCUCGCCCGGGGCCUCUGCCUCGGAGGGGGCUCCCCGCUCGGGACAGCGCGACGCGGCUUCGCGGAGCGGCCCAGGCGGCAGACGAGGGCGGGCGGAGAGCGGAAGGCUGCGGCGGAGAGGCCCUCCCCGCGAGACUGCAGGGCCGCAGGCCAACCUGAGCAAGGGAGAUUCUGCAGGGGGCUGGGCUGUGUGAACUGUGAGCUGGAACAGUGAAAGUAAAACAGAAAGCAAGCAAGCACGGAAGACAUCUUAUUCUGUCAUUUCAGAGUUGAGAUGUUACUCAAGUAUAAAAAUACAAGGCUCAGAAGCCAUAAAGGAAACGACUGAAAACUUGACUAUGUAAUUGGUCUUUUAGUCUUUACCAAGCAAAGGCAGGUGACAAGAAACGGGUGUGUGAGAACGUUUGUGCGACUACAUAUAUAUUAAGAACGUUGGUAUCAGCAUUACAUAAUAACAGAAUGUAGAAAACACGGCAAGGGACCAGUUAAGUAAAUUUUCAGUGCAUUCACAUAACACAAGACUAUCACUUUGCUUUUUGGUUUAUUGCUGUUGUUUAAAUGAGUUAGAUCCAUAGGUAUUGACUUGGAAAAAUGUCGAUGGCAAACUGUCAAAUGAAAACAAAGUUUUAGCACUUACUACUGGAAGUGCUUUUUAAAAAAUGAAGCGGAAAAAUGAAGAGUUAGAAUAGCUAAAGCGGUUUUAAAGAGCAAGAAUCAAGUCUGCCCUAUAGCCUGGUGUCUGGACAGAAAGACGUGCCAGAAACAAAGAUGGGCCACACUACGUGCUUCUCUGCUCCCUCCUACUAUAGUCUUGGGAAGGCAGCUGGCAUCUCAGCCCCUGCACCUCUCUGCUCCACUAACACUCAGAGCCCCUGCAGGCAAUCAGAACUCUGACUCUGCAGGCCUGGGGUCCCUAUGUCUACAGUCUCUUCCUUCAUGUCAGGAGCCUCGAGCAAUUCACUUGGUUUGCCCAAUCAUCCAUGCCCAGAGCUGCUGGCUCUAACAUACACCUGUGCAGUCCUUCUCUCCAUAAGCUUUGAGCUGAUAUCCCAAGGUAAGACCAUUCCCCUCACAAAACAGGUAUGAACCACGGGAACAACUGGAAGUUUGCACCUGGACCCAUUAUACAAACUCUGUGUGCACACUCUACUCCCAAAGACACUACCCUUUUCACUGUGCUGUUUGCAUGGUAUGGCCAUUGCUUACUAGAAGCAUCCAGACUCACUUAUGUGGCAGGAAGAAAUACUAAGUACACACACACGCAUGCACACACACCCAUGUACAAACACAGAGGCACACACACACCCCAGGAGCUUAUCUGGACUCCUGCUAGGGCUGGCAAUGGUGGGAGCAGAAAAGACAUCAUUGUUGCUGCUUCUCGGGUCCUCUGCGCUGGCAGACCCUGGUUGCUUUGCUGACUUCACUGUGGAGAGUGAGGGCUUGGAGCGCCCUAGUCUGCAGUUUGCUGUCCAGCGCCCUGUGCUUUAUUCAGUCCACUCUACCCUCUCUCCUCAAUGCACAGUCACCAUUAAAAAUAAGAAUGGACACACAUUGAUUUCAAUUUUCAAACUUGAACAAAGUUUAAGAACAGAGAGAAAUUGGGUUAUUGUGAAGAAGGUAGUGAGGAAAUUUUAUUUAUCUUUUUUGCAGCUACCAAAAUGUUCAAAUAUAGUCUAUAAAAGCUUAAUAUUUUUUAAAACUAGGAAAAGUAAAUAAUCCCUCAUUACUCCUUCUUGCCCAUCACCAUCUCUGCCCCAGCUUGUGUCACAGUGGGCUCACCUGACGACAUGCCUGUUCUCCUGGUUUGGAGACUUCUUUCACACUCAUCACUAUCCUCUAUGCUCACUACACACCUGAGGCCACUGUAGCCAUCCACAUGGUAAAUCAGGGGAUUUUUCUCUAGUGAGCCUGAGGGUUUGUUUUUUUUUCUUCUAAUAGAAACCUCUCCCAUCUGUCCUCU